GAAAUAUUUGAGAAUGUUUUUAUAUGAACUUGGAGGAUGAAAAAUGAAAAAUUUGUUCUGAAAUUUACGUUGUUACAAGUUAACAUAAUAAUCAUGAUCCACUAACAUGNAUAAUCAUGAUCCCACUAACAUGAUGAUUAUAUCCUUAUUGGUAUAACACUUAUGCUCCCACUAGCUUUGACAUGUAUUCAGAAAUCAGAUGGACUUUCUAGAAAUCAAUACUUAUUGACUUUCUUACCAAAGUUCAUAUUUCUGAUACGUGAUGCUUCGAUAAGCCCAUACACCUUAC
RNAcentral lists this long non-coding RNA (289 nucleotides) under Lactuca sativa (garden lettuce). RNAcentral describes it as "long non-coding RNA (LSAT_LNC002946)". The record is from RNAcentral. Lineage: Eukaryota; Viridiplantae; Streptophyta; Magnoliopsida; Asterales; Asteraceae.